UUAAUUACCGGUCUAAUGCUUUCGGCUAUUUCUCACGGAACAACGAGACUCAGGUUACUAGCGUUUUGAAACGUUAUUGACCAAGUCAGUAGGGGUGGGUUGGUGUAGAGAAAGGAAGAGGAAGAAAGUCAGAAAAAGCAGCCUGAGUGCGAAACUCAGAACUUGCUAACACAUCAGUGCUCAGCUAUCUAAUUCGAUUCUUUUUCGGAAGGAAAACUUGGCAGGUGUGAAUUUAAUAUGAAGCGUCUAUUUUCGUUUGGCGGCAAAGGACGAAGCCAAUGAGGGCUACCCACGAGAUACAGUCUAGAGGACAUUAUUUCAACAUUUCAGGGUCUGGAAGACGCUUAGGGUUCCCAUAUCCUCUGGAUGACUGAAGGACAUAGCAGUGGAUUCUGACAUGGACUGUGCAGAGGUCAAAGGUCAAAUCCCAGCGGAGGAACAGCUGGAGCCACUGGUUAUCCUCGAGGAAGGGGACGAGCUGGACGAUUUCACACAUAUCUCUGCGAGAGGGAAAGGCGUACUAAGAGUGAAGAAGGAAAACAUGGAAGACAUGAUUAAGGGAAGUUCGGAGGGAAGUACAGAUUCUGAAAACGAUGUGGAAGUGGAAAGUCAGCAAAAGGAAGGGCUGGAAUACAUAAACCAAAAGAUCGAGGGAGUGACAGAAACCGAGGAGAACCCAGAAGUGAAAAUAGUCCAAACCAGACCUGGAUUAGUGAUGGGGAAGGCAGAAGAAGAGAUGGAGGGAUUGAAGACAAAAGCAGUGCCUAAAGAAGAGUCACUUGCUGAUAGCCAGCCUUCUGCCAAACUACGACCCAGGGACCGACUCAGUCCUGAAGAUGCUCAGCAAAAGGUCCACAGAUUAUCCCCAGAUUCUCCUGACGCUCUCUACGAGCUACUUUGCGCUUUGCAAGAGGGCCGUCGGCUCAACGACCAGCGCUGCUCCUUCACACUGCAGCCACGCCGGAGGUGCCACUCGGAGCCUGGAACCCCACGCCACAACCAUAAAGGUGAGGAAGUUAAAGACCUAGAUUACCUUCUCACAAUUCCAGUUUGAUCGCUAUUAGUGCUUUAUUAAGUACAAUAUUAGUACUUAAUAGUACUAAGUUCUUUAUAGAUGUAUUUGGUAAAUGGCUGCACCAUGUAUCAUUCAAUAUUUUAGUGCUAUAGAAUGGUGAUGUUUAUUGUUACAACAUUCCUAAAAAUGUACUAUGUUACUAUUAUACUAGGAUUAUUAUUAUUACUAACUGUGACUUACUACAUAGUGGGCCUUUUCUGUAGUUUUUACUAAAAUGCUACUACAUUUCUCCAUUGAAAAUACUUACACUAAAAGUGUUAUUAU
Long non-coding RNA from Ictalurus punctatus (channel catfish), 1339 nucleotides. The record is from Ensembl. Lineage: Eukaryota; Metazoa; Chordata; Actinopteri; Siluriformes; Ictaluridae.